This 447-nucleotide ribosomal RNA is filed under the name uncultured bacterium. RNAcentral describes it as "bacterial SSU rRNA". It matches the Rfam family "Bacterial small subunit ribosomal RNA", at positions 29 to 524 of the family's 1533-position model. The record is from RNAcentral.
AACGAACGCUGGCGGCAGGCUUAACACAUGCAAGUCGAACGCCCCGCAAGGGGAGUGGCAGACGGGUGAGUAACACGUGGGAACGUGCCCUUCGCUUCGGGAUAGCCUCGGGAAACUGGGAGUAAUACCGAAUACGCCGUAUUGGGAAAGAUUUAUCGGCGAAGGAUCGGCCCGCGUUGGAUUAGCUAGUUGGCGGUGUAAUGGACCACCAAGGCGACGAUCCUUAGCUGGUCUGAGAGGAUGAUCAGCCACACUGGGACUGAGACACGGCCCAGACUCCUACGGGAGGCAGCAGUGGGGAAUAUUGGACAAUGGGCGAAAGCCUGAUCCAGCAAUGCCGCGUGAGUGAUGAAGGCCUUAGGGUUGUAAAGCUCUUUUACCCGGGAUGAUAAUGACAGUACCGGGAGAAUAAGCCCCGGCUAACUCCGUGCCAGCAGCCGCGGUAAU